This 278-nucleotide ribosomal RNA is filed under the name Mesocricetibacter intestinalis. Lineage: Bacteria; Pseudomonadati; Pseudomonadota; Gammaproteobacteria; Pasteurellales; Pasteurellaceae. The record is from RNAcentral.
ACUAAUUGCCCGAGAGGCUUAACCAUACAACGCUCAAGUAUUUUUGUUUUCGGUUUGUUUUUUUAUUGUGAAGGCGAGGCGCUGGAUUUUGUGAGUAGAAUCUGAUGAGGGGCAUCGCGAAUAAAAGAAUAGUAUAAAGUAUAAAAAGUGUAAAAGGAUUAUCCUGGCGGCGAUAGUGCGGUGGUCCCACCUGACCCCAUGCCGAACUCAGAAGUGAAACGCCGUAACGCCGAUGGUAGUGUGGGGCUUCCCCAUGUGAGAGUAGGUCACCGCCAGGU